This is a non-coding RNA of Phascolarctos cinereus (koala), 1331 nucleotides long. The record is from RefSeq and is a predicted model, not a curated record. NCBI's taxonomy places the organism in Eukaryota, Metazoa, Chordata, Mammalia, Diprotodontia, Phascolarctidae.
CCUUCUACUCCUGGAGGCUCACCAAAUGGUGCUGGACUUCAUGCAGAAAUCCAACUGGCUUGGCCCACUACAGCUCAGAACCCCUGAACUCAAGAAAUCUACCAGCCUGUCACCUGUCUCUCUGGUAGCAGGGAUUACAGUAGAAGAGAAGAAUUAUCUCAUGGAGUCUUCUGGUCUAGAUCAGCUUCAGAGACAAGAACAGAAAAUGAUCAGACUGGCAACAAGGACAAUGAUUUGUAAAGGAAACCUAUCAGCAUCCCUAUGAAGCAAAGACCAUUUUAUAGAUGAUGAAACUGAGACAGAAGCAACUUGCCCAGAGGACUACACAGAGGUCUUGGCAAAAAUGGAACUAAAACUCAGUAUUCCUUCCAACAGACUAAAAGAACCCAGGCACUGGAAGUAAGGUAGGUAUCAAGUGCUGAAAGAAAAAAAAAUCUAAGAGUCCUCUUUGGAAACCUGGAAGUUCCAGGUGGUUUCCUGAGAUUGUUCAAUGAGAUGGCAUCUCAUUAUACCUCAAAUUUUCCAGCUCUUCUAAAUGUCAUGAUCCUAAGUUUGCUGUUGAAGCUCUUGGGCUGAAUUCUUUCAGGAAGGGAAAGACAUGUGGUGGAGUAACCUGGCUGAAAAGUACUAUAUCUCCCUCUAGGACAAAUGUAAUUGUGGAAGUGGAGUCAAAUUUCUACUAAAAAGCCUGCAGGUUCUCUUCUUCUCAAUUAUAAAUAUAAUGAUGGAAUACCUACCUUCCUCCAACAAUAGUUUGCUUUUCAAUGACAAGACUAAGACCCUGGGCUGCAUGGAUUUGAUGAGACUAGCCAGUCUCAACAAUGUAACAAUGAAUGGCAUCAACAGCCAGGCCUCAAGGAUUGUGUUAUCACUAGGGUCUCUGAUGUGUUAAAAUGUUACAGUGCCCCUUUUCUGCCUUCUAUCAUUGUCCACUUUAGAAUAUCUCCCUUUUGUAUCCCAAAAGCCCCCAAUACUUGUUUUUAAUCAAUCAGAGUUCUAUUAUCCUUAUAGUAGAAACUGAAAUGUUUUUCUUCCUACAAUUUGUAUUUAGAGGGUAAGUAUUAAGAAUAGAUCUUUUUUGGUUUCUGGGUUUUUUUGUUUGUUUUUGUUGUUGUUUUUUGGUGAGGCAACUGGGGCUGUGACUUGCCCAGAAGUGUCUGUUUUUGAUGAAGCCAUGUUCCCUGGUUAAUAAACUGGAUUUGAAAAGUAUAGAGUGUAUCAUCUCAUAGAAGAAAUGUUUGUAGGUAACAGAGACAUUACAGGCAUUUCUCAUAAGGUCUACCAGCACCAAGUGACAAGGAUCAGUUCAUAUUUUGGGGAGUUGAAAGGGA